Molecule: ribosomal RNA, 484 nt
Filed under: uncultured bacterium
Lineage: Bacteria
Description: partial 16S ribosomal RNA
Rfam family: Bacterial small subunit ribosomal RNA
Source: RNAcentral
AUUGAACGCUGGCGGCAUGCUUUACACAUGCAAGUCGAACGGCAGCGCGGGCUUCGGCUUGGCGGCGAGUGGCGAACGGGUGAGUAAUGCAUCGGAACGUGCCCAGUAGUGGGGGAUAGCCCGGCGAAAGCCGGAUUAAUACCGCAUACGACCUGAGGGUGAACGCGGGGGACCGGAAGGCCUUGCGCUAUUGGAGCGGCGGAUGUCGGAUUAGCUAGUUGGUGGGGUAAAGGCUUACCAAGGCGACGAUCCGUAGCUGGUCUGAGAGGACGAGCAGCCACACUGGAACUGAGACACGGCCCAGACUCCUACGGGAGGCAGCAGUGGGGAAUUUUGGACAAUGGGGGCAACCCUGAUCCAGCCAUGCCGCGUGCGGGAAGAAGGCCUUCGGGUUGUAAACCGCUUUUGUUCGGGAAGAAAUGCUCUGGGCUAAUACCCCGGGGGGAUGACGGUACCGGAAGAAUAAGCACCGGCUAACUACGUG